Molecule: unclassified non-coding RNA, 343 nt
Filed under: soil metagenome
Description: partial contains 5.8S ribosomal RNA, internal transcribed spacer 2, and large subunit ribosomal RNA
Rfam family: 5.8S ribosomal RNA (bases 1-120)
Source: RNAcentral
GAUGAAGAACGCAGCGAAAUGCGAUAAGUAAUGUGAAUUGCAGAAUUCAGUGAAUCAUCGAAUCUAUGAACGCACAUUGCGCCCGCUAGUAUUCUGGCGGGCAUGCCUGUCCGAGCGUCAUUUCAACCCUCAAGCCCCCGGGCUUGGUGUUGGGGAUCGGCGAGCCUCCGCGCCCGCCGUCCCCUAAAUCUAGUGGCGGUCUCGCUGUAGCUUCCUCUGCGUAGUAGCACACCUCGCACUGGGAAACAGCGCGGCCACGCCGUUAAACCCCCAACUUCUGAACGUUUGACCUCGGAUCAGGUAGGAAUACCCGCUGAACUUAAGCAUAUCAAUAAGCGGAGGA